GGUCCUACGGGAGGCAGCAGUGGGGAAUAUUGGACAAUGGGGGAAACCCUGAUCCAGCGACGCCGCGUGAGUGAAGAAGUAUUUCGGUACGUAAAGCUCUAUCAGCAGGAAAGAAAAUGACGGUACCUGACUAAGAAGCCCCGGCUAACUACGUGCCAGCAGCCGCGGUAAUACGUCGGGGGCAAGCGUUAUCCGGAUUUACCGGGUGUAAAGGGAGCGUAGACGGCAGCGCAAGUCUGGAGUGAAAUGCCGGGGCCCAACCCCGGAACUGCUCUGGCAACUGCGAAGCUGGAGUGCAGCGGAGG
RNAcentral lists this ribosomal RNA (305 nucleotides) under uncultured bacterium. Its description in RNAcentral is "bacterial SSU rRNA". It matches the Rfam family "Bacterial small subunit ribosomal RNA", at positions 335 to 657 of the family's 1533-position model. The record is from RNAcentral.